Molecule: ribosomal RNA, 274 nt
Filed under: uncultured bacterium
Lineage: Bacteria
Description: partial 16S ribosomal RNA
Rfam family: Bacterial small subunit ribosomal RNA
Source: RNAcentral
AUACGAAAGGUGCAAGCGUUGUUCGGAUUUACUGGGCGUAAAGAGAGUGUAGGUUGUUUAUUAAGUCGGAUGUGAAAUCCCGGGGCUCAACCUCGGAACUGCAUUCGAUACUGGUAGACUAGAGUUCGGGAGGGGUAAGCGGAAUUCCGUGUGUAGCAGUGAAAUGCGUGGAUAUACGGAGGAACACCUGAGGCGAAGGCGGCUUACUGGACCGAUACUGACACUGAGACUCGAAAGCGUGGGUAGCAAACAGGAUUAGAUACCCUAGUAGUCC